AUGGGCAGUAUUUUGGCCUAUGUAUUUAAUGUUUUUCUGACAUCGCCUAGUGCUGUCAGCAGCAGGAAAACGUUUGCUGGAUCCCUCUUUCUCUUACAGCUUCUGUUCACCGUUAUUUACUACCAAUGGAGGAGCUGUGGAUAUCUGGAUAGAAACUUCUGGUCCAGAAGCCAACAUGAGUCGUUUGCUUUGUCCUGUUCCUUUCCUGCCUUCUCCUACAAAGGAAAGAAGAAACUAAAACAGGGACCGUUUCUACAUGGUUCUGUACCUGGAUGGUCUUGCAGUGCCACCUUCUCUAAGAUUUUCAGUGGAAGCCAGGAUGCUUGGCUUGGUGAUCUGCAGCUGCUCCAUUUCGCCUUGGAUACUGCUGCUGAAGUCCACCAGAAGGAGCCUUUGUGUAUCAGUUUUGCAUAAGCUUCAAGGAAUAGAUUAACAUGUAAGUAAAAAAGCCAGUGAGUUCUCUGAACUAUGGUGAGUUAUCAUAAAAUUAAUCUUCCCAAUCUGUAUGAGGAAAGGAUGCUCUGGAUUUGCAAUACAAAUCCUAUACACUAAGAAUAUGGGUGGUUGUACACCGCUGCUAGAGACGACUUUAAUCCCAGCCAUCUCAUUGAUUGACCAGUGUUUUAUUUCUUAAUAACUACAGAGAACUAAAUACAGCCCUACAACAGCAUGUAUCGGAUAUGUGUUCCCCUUUUUGCUCGCAGUCUGCUUCAGAUUUGUGUUAAGCAUUGUGCAGCAUUCCCCAAGGCAGCUUCGUACCUUGAGAUGCGCCUGUCUCUGCAGGAGCUCUCUUUGACCAGGGAAACUUGAAACAUUCUCUUCUUGGGUACUCUUAUUGUAGUAAAAUCACAGGAAUGUAUCAGCAAAUCAGCUCUGUUGAACUCCUGCAGUUUUGAUCUGAUGGCUGGAUUUAAUCUGUCAGUGUUUUGGGAGGAUGACUGCUUAUCAGAAGAAUGAGGGGGAAAAAAUGUCAAAAAAUUUAAAAAUCAGUUCCCAUAAAGUUACCCUUACUUGCUCUCUCUUCUCUUCCCUGCUGUGUUUGUGGUAACAGCUCAUCAGACCCUGUGCUUGUAAUAUCUGUACCAUGAGACUGCAAGAGAACUUCUCUUCCUCUAGGAAAGAACAGGAACCGGGAUUCCUCCUCUGAGAGAUGUGGGGCUCAUGCCUGAAGAGGAUGUAUGUGAUGUUUUUCUCCCCCGACCAAUGUAAUCAUCGAGAACUGAAAUACUUCUGGUAGCUUUUGCGAACUCUGUGAGCCUUGCCUUCUUUGCAGAGGAGCCAGAGUCUAUGUGGACGAUUUGAACCUUUGCCAUCAUUUGGAGCAGAAUGAAGCUCUGUAAAAGGACAGCGACUGAAUGCCAACUGGGUUGUCAUUAGCCCGGGCGGCCCAGGAAGCAGCUGAUGUGCAGUUUGUGGUGGAAGUCAUGCAGACACAAGGGGUAUGACUCAGUGAUGGAGAGGCCCCAGCCUCUGGCUGUAUUCCAAACCGAAGGUGGAUUCUGGGCUUGCUGUUGGGAUGGACCAGGGACAGCUAGUGGCUGCACGCACGCACAUGGCUGCAUAAAGCACAAAGGCUCUGAGGAUUCCCCUGUGGCCCUCCCUUUCGCAGAAGGCUGUUAAUGUUGCAGCGAUGUCUGGUGCUGCUGGCCCUGUUCCUCCUUUCUUCCACAGUAAUCAAUGGACGCAUGUCCUGGUCUUGAAGUCUGGCACUUUAGGAAUGAAAAGCUUAAUGGCUUUCCUUGGCUUUUUUUCCCCCCUCUUCUUUUCUUUUAUGAAGCAUAGGGUGUUUAGAACUAUGGAAGCAGUGCAAGAAAAAUAUUAAUGAAUAACUAUGGAGUGCAGACAUUAAUGCAUUCCUUUCUCUUGAAAUAACUGACUUUUCUCUGUGGGCUCUGUAAAAGAAAAAUGUCUGCUGAGUCUGAACCUGCUGUAUAGGAGCCAAAGUAGAUGGUGAUUUAGAACUUCACUGGCUUUUUUGUUAAAAUGUUACCUCUGCAUUUAUCAUGUGGCCAAAAAUCAUCUCUCUUUCUCCCCACAAUGAUAACCCUGAGGAGGCAAGGUAAGCCUAAGGCACAGGGGUGGUUCCUGAUGGCAACUGUGAAUGAAAAACGAUUUCUAGGACCCCCUCCCACACCCCAGACUCUACCCGAUGUUGGAGGAGAGGAAUUAAAGUGUUGCGAGCACUCUACCAUGGGAGUGCUCUGCAGCAGUGGAUUUUGAAGCCCCGAGUAGCUUUUGCUUCCCGGCAGGUAUGGAGGGGUACGCGAGCUGCGUGUGGGGCUGCGCCAGCAGCAAUGCUCCAAGGUUUGAAUCCAGCCUUCCCGGGCCAGGGCUGAAAACCGCAGGUCGGCUCAAGGCGGCGGCGCCUGACAGCCGGCCUUGCUCCAGCUGGUCCUUCGAGGGAGCGGGAGGCAGAGGGUGCCCGCGGCGGAGACCCCCGUGUCCCGCCGCCGGUGGAGCCGGGUGGGUGCCUCGGUGCCCCACGGAGCCCGGCUGCGCGGGCAGGCGCUGUCCGGCGCCCAGCGGAGCAGGAGGCUCAGGAACCUGCCCGAGAUAGCUGCGGGGCUCAGCUCAGCGUUUAACCCCCCCGGCCACCUCUCCCCGAUGGCGCCCACCCCUGCCUCAGCUGCCUCCCCCGCCUCGCCCACCCCGCCCGCCGCAGCGGCUGGCGAACAGGGCUUUGUCCCGGUGUCCCGGCCCGCCGGGACUGAACGCUGCAGCUGGGAUCAUUGUGCAAGGGACGGGGGAAGGGGGGUGCGACGGUGCCUCCCGCCAGGCGGUUUCCUUUGGCGGCCCCCGGCCCCCUCGCCUGCCCCCGCCGCUCCCCGGGAGCCGCCGGGACUUGUAGUCCGGCCCGGCCCGGCCCGGCCCGAGGGGCUGCCCGUAGGGGACCCC
Molecule: long non-coding RNA, 2895 nt
Filed under: Falco tinnunculus (common kestrel)
Lineage: Eukaryota; Metazoa; Chordata; Aves; Falconiformes; Falconidae
Description: lncRNA (ENSFTIG00000004214.1)
Source: RNAcentral